RNAcentral lists this ribosomal RNA (484 nucleotides) under uncultured bacterium. RNAcentral's name for it is "partial 16S ribosomal RNA". It matches the Rfam family "Bacterial small subunit ribosomal RNA", at positions 30 to 507 of the family's 1533-position model. The record is from RNAcentral.
AUUGAACGCUGGCGGCAGGCCUAACACAUGCAAGUCGAGCGGAUGAAGGGAGCUUGCUCCUGGAUUCAGCGGCGGACGGGUGAGUAAUGCCUAGGAAUCUGCCUGGUAGUGGGGGAUAACGUCCGGAAACGGGCGCUAAUACCGCAUACGUCCUGAGGGAGAAAGUGGGGGAUCUUCGGACCUCACGCUAUCAGAUGAGCCUAGGUCGGAUUAGCUAGUUGGUGGGGUAAAGGCCUACCAAGGCGACGAUCCGUAACUGGUCUGAGAGGAUGAUCAGUCACACUGGAACUGAGACACGGUCCAGACUCCUACGGGAGGCAGCAGUGGGGAAUAUUGGACAAUGGGCGCAAGCCUGAUCCAGCCAUGCCGCGUGUGUGAAGAAGGUCUUCGGAUUGUAAAGCACUUUAAGUUGGGAAGAAGAGCAGUAAGUUAAUACCUUGCUGUUUUGACGUUACCAACAGAAUAAGCACCGGCUAACUUCGUG